UUUCCGUAGGUGAACCUGCGGAAGGAUCAUUACUGAGUGAGGGCCCCUCGGGGUCCAACCUCCCACCCGUGUUUAACGAACCUUGUUGCUUCGGCGGGCCCGCCUCACGGCCGCCGGGGGGCGUCUGCCCCCGGGCCCGCGCCCGCCGAAGCCACCUGUGAACGCUGUCUGAAGUAUGCAGUCUGAGACAAUUAUUAAAUUAAUUAAAACUUUCAACAACGGAUCUCUUGGUUCCG
RNAcentral lists this unclassified non-coding RNA (236 nucleotides) under plant metagenome. Its description in RNAcentral is "partial contains small subunit ribosomal RNA, internal transcribed spacer 1, and 5.8S ribosomal RNA". The record is from RNAcentral.